UACAGAGGGGGCAAGCGUUGUUCGGAAUUACUGGGCGUAAAGGGCGCGUAGGCGGCCGCCUAAGUCAGACGUGAAAUCCCUCGGCUUAACCGAGGAACUGCCUGCCAGACUGGAUGGCUUGAGACCGGGAGAGGUGAGUGGAAUUCCCAGUGUAGCGGUGAAAUGCGUAGAUAUUGGGAGGAACACCAGUGGCGAAGGCGGCUCACUGGACUGGUACUGACGCUGAGGCGCGAAAGCGUGGGGAGCAAACAGG
This 253-nucleotide ribosomal RNA is filed under the name uncultured bacterium. RNAcentral's name for it is "partial 16S ribosomal RNA". It matches the Rfam family "Bacterial small subunit ribosomal RNA", at positions 524 to 776 of the family's 1533-position model. The record is from RNAcentral.